This 268-nucleotide ribosomal RNA is filed under the name uncultured bacterium. RNAcentral's name for it is "partial 16S ribosomal RNA". It matches the Rfam family "Bacterial small subunit ribosomal RNA", at positions 793 to 1055 of the family's 1533-position model. The record is from RNAcentral.
GUCCACGCCCUAAACGAUGUCAACUGGUUGUUGGGUCUUCACUGACUCAGUAACGAAGCUAACGCGUGAAGUUGACCGCCUGGGGAGUACGGCCGCAAGGUUGAAACUCAAAGGAAAUUGACGGGGACCCGCACAAGCGGUGGAUGAUGUGGUUUAAUUCGAUGCAAACGCGAAAAACCUUUAACCCACCUUUGACAUGUACGGAAGUCGCUAGAGAUAGCUUCGUGCUCGAAAGAGAGCCGUAACACAGGUGCUGCAUGGCUGUCGU